GAAGCGGCAACAGCUCAAAUUUGAAAUCUGGCCCUCGGGUCCGAGUUGUAAUUUGUAGAGGAUGCUUUUGGUGCGGUGCCUUCCGAGUUCCCUGGAACGGGACGCCAUAGAGGGUGAGAGCCCCGUCUGGUUGGACGCCAAUCCUCUGUAAAGCUCCUUCGACGAGUCGAGUAGUUUGGGAAUGCUGCUCUAAAUGGGAGGUAUAUGUCUUCUAAAGCUAAAUACCGGCCAGAGACCGAUAGCGCACAAGUAGAGUGAUCGAAAGAUGAAAAGCACUUUGAAAAGAGAGUUAAACAGUACGUGAAAUUGUUGAAAGGGAAGCGCUUAUGACCAGACUUGGGCUUGGUAGAUCAACCUGGGUUCUCCCUGGUGCACUCUUCCUCGUCCAGGCCAGCAUCAGUUCGCUGCGGGGGAUAAAGGCUUCGGGAAUGUGGCUCCCUCGGGAGUGUUAUAGCCCGUUGCGUAAUACCCUGCGGUGGACUGAGGUUCGCGUUCUGCAAGGAUGCUGGCGUAAUGGUCAUCAGCGACCCGUCUUGAAACACGGACCAAGGAGUCGUCUUCGUAUGCGAGUGUUCGGGUGUUAAACCCCUACGCGUAAUGAAAGUGAACGCAGGUGAGAGCUUCGGCGCAUCAUCGACCGAUCCUGAUGUUC
This 652-nucleotide ribosomal RNA is filed under the name Mariannaea cinerea. RNAcentral's name for it is "eukaryotic LSU rRNA". It matches the Rfam family "Eukaryotic large subunit ribosomal RNA", at positions 95 to 779 of the family's 3401-position model. Lineage: Eukaryota; Fungi; Ascomycota; Sordariomycetes; Hypocreales; Nectriaceae. The record is from RNAcentral.